Molecule: ribosomal RNA, 491 nt
Filed under: Cryptosporidium muris
Lineage: Eukaryota; Apicomplexa; Conoidasida; Eucoccidiorida; Cryptosporidiidae
Description: SSU rRNA
Rfam family: Eukaryotic small subunit ribosomal RNA
Source: RNAcentral
GAGGGCAAGUCUGGUGCCAGCAGCCGCGGUAAUUCCAGCUCCAAUAGCGUAUAUUAAAGUUGUUGCAGUUAAAAAGCUCGUAGUUGGAUUUCUGUUGUAUAAUCUAUAAUAUUACUAAGGUAUAUAUUAUAUUAUCAACAUCCUUCCUAUUAUAUUUCUAAAUAUAUAGGAAACUUUACUUUGAGAAAAUUAGAGUGCUUAAAGCAGGCAACUGCCUUGAAUACUCCAGCAUGGAAUAAUAAGUAAGGACUUUUGUCUUUCUUAUUGGUUCUAGGACAAAAGUAAUGGUUAAUAGGGACAGUUGGGGGCAUUCGUAUUUAACAGCCAGAGGUGAAAUUCUUAGAUUUGUUAAAGACGAACUACUGCGAAAGCAUUUGCCAAGGAUGUUUUCAUUAAUCAAGAACGAAAGUUAGGGGAUCGAAGACGAUCAGAUACCGUCGUAGUCUUAACCAUAAACUAUGCCGACUAGAGAUUGGAGGUUGUUCCUUACU